UACGUAGGGGGCAAGCGUUAAUCGGAAUUACUGGGCGUAAAGCGUGCGCAGGCGGUUUUGUAAGUCUGUCGUGAAAGCCCCGGGCUUAACCUGGGAAUUGCGAUGGAGACUGCAAGGCUUGAAUCUGGCAGAGGGGGGUAGAAUUCCACGUGUAGCAGUGAAAUGCGUAGAGAUGUGGAGGAACACCGAUGGCGAAGGCAGCCCCCUGGGUCAAGAUUGACGCUCAUGCACGAAAGCGUGGGGAGCAAACAGG
Molecule: ribosomal RNA, 253 nt
Filed under: uncultured bacterium
Lineage: Bacteria
Description: partial 16S ribosomal RNA
Rfam family: Bacterial small subunit ribosomal RNA
Source: RNAcentral